GACGAACGCUGGCGGCGUGCUUAACACAUGCAAGUCGAACGGUGAAGCGCCUUCCUUUUUGGUGGUGGGGGAGGAGGGGCGAACGGGGGGGUAACACGUGGGUAACCUGCCCCCUUCUUCUGGAUAACCCCAUGAAAGUGUGGCUAAUACGGGAUAUUCUGGGUCUGUCGCAUGAUGGGUCUGGGAAAGAUAUUGUUUCGGUGGGGGAUGGGCUCGCGGCCUAUCAGCUUGUUGGUGGGGUGAUGGCCUACCAAGGCGGUGACGGGUAGCCGGCCUGAGAGGGUGGACGGUCACACUGGGACUGAGACACGGCCCAGACUCCUACGGGAGGCAGCAGUGGGGAAUAUUGCACAAUGGGCGCAAGCCUGAUGCAGCGACGCCGCGUGAGGGAUGGAGGCCUUCGGGUUGUGAACCUCUUUCGCCAGUGAAGCAGGCCUGCCUCGUUUGUGGGUGGGUUGACGGUAGCUGGAUAAGAAGCGCCGGCUAACUACGUG
Molecule: ribosomal RNA, 494 nt
Filed under: uncultured bacterium
Lineage: Bacteria
Description: partial 16S ribosomal RNA
Rfam family: Bacterial small subunit ribosomal RNA
Source: RNAcentral